RNAcentral lists this ribosomal RNA (900 nucleotides) under uncultured Bacillota bacterium. Its description in RNAcentral is "bacterial SSU rRNA". It matches the Rfam family "Bacterial small subunit ribosomal RNA", at positions 58 to 934 of the family's 1533-position model. The record is from RNAcentral. Lineage: Bacteria; Bacillati; Bacillota.
CAAGUCGAACGCGAAAGUCCCCUUCGGGGGGCGAGUAGAGUGGCGUCCGGGUGAGUAACACGUAGGUAAUCUACCUUCGGGUGGGGAAUAACGCAGGGAAACUUGCGCUAAUACCGCAUAAUGCAGCGGCACCACAUGGUGACAGUUGUUAAAGCGGGGGAUUUUCGAACCUCGCGCCUGAAGAGGAGCCUGCGGCAGAUUAGCUAGUUGGUAGGGUAACGGCUUACCAAGGCGACGAUCUGUAGCCGGCCUGAGAGGGCGGUCGGCCACACUGACACUGACAUACGGGUCAGACUCCUACGGGAGGCAGCAGUCGGGAAUUUUGGGCAAUGGGCGAAAGCCUGACCCAGCAACGCCGCGUGAAGGAUGAAAUCCUUCGGGAUGUAAACUUCGCAAGAAUAGGAAGAAUGAGCGAGCGCUAACACCGUUCGUGAUGACGGUACUAUUUGUAAGCUCCGGCUAACUCCGUGCCAGCAGCCGCGGUAAUACGGGGGGAGCAAGCGUUGUUCGGAUUUACUGGGCGUAAAGGGCGCGUAGGCGGUCAGCACAAGUCAGUUGUGAAAUCUCCGGGCUUAACUCGGAAAGGUCAACUGAUACUGUGCGACUAGAGUGCAGAAGGGGCAACUGGAAUUCUCGGUGUAGCGGUGAAAUGCGUAGAUAUCGAGAGGAACACCUGCGGCGAAGGCGGGUUGCUGGGCUGACACUGACGCUGAUGCGCGAAAGCCAGGGGAGCGAACGGGAUUAGAUACCCCGGUAGUCCUGGCCUUAAACGAUGGAUGCUUGGUGUCUGGAGUUUUAUAGUCUCCGGGUGCCGUAGCUAACGCGUUAAGCAUCCCGCCUGGGGAGUACGGUCGCAAGACUGAAACUCAAAGGAAUUGACGGGGACCCGCACAAGCGGUG